Molecule: long non-coding RNA, 644 nt
Organism: Spodoptera frugiperda (fall armyworm)
Lineage: Eukaryota; Metazoa; Arthropoda; Insecta; Lepidoptera; Noctuidae
Exons: 2
Source: RefSeq, a predicted model, not a curated record
AAGAUAUUCAACCCGUUGAACCUAAUCAGCAGAAAAGUGAUAAUUCUGAACUGAUGUGUGCUGCAUGUGGUCAAAGUCUUACUCCCAACAACACUGCUUGUUUGUUGGAGCACCAGCAGACACCUUCCAUGAAUGAAGUUUGUGAAGUUUGCUGGGGCCAAGUAUGCAAUUUGAGCUUCUAUGUUCCAGAUGGUCUAUGUUGCUUCAAGCUAAAAUAAAGUCCUGCCACUCUUCUCCUAGAACUUAUUUUGUUUUCAUAGUUGCAGAAACAAAUAUGAAUAGCCGGGACACAAUCAAAAGUGAUUGCUGUAAUUGUAUUGUAGGUUUAAGAACAGUGGGAUGCUGCUCACAUGUUAUGAGCAUUCUUUGGUAUUUGAGUUAUGCUUGCCAUGAGGGUAUGACCCGACCUGCCCCUUUCUUGGAUGAAGUAAUAUUAAGAACCAAUCAAGUAAUUAUAAGAAAAUAAAGUAAAUGUAUUCCUACAAAAACUAAGUUGUUUUAUUUACCUACGCUCAAAACUCCAUCAGCACUUAAUCAUUAUCAAACUAUUGUAGACCGCUGCUGGACAUAGGUCACUCCUUAAGCACCCUACUGAAUGGGUAAAUUCUCAUGUCAAUUUAUCAACUUCCUACAUUCUUUUUCAC